UUCCAGUGACAGGGACUGUUGCCAUCUCCC
This 30-nucleotide non-coding RNA is filed under the name Homo sapiens (human). Lineage: Eukaryota; Metazoa; Chordata; Mammalia; Primates; Hominidae. The record is from RNAcentral.